Molecule: ribosomal RNA, 253 nt
Filed under: uncultured bacterium
Lineage: Bacteria
Description: partial 16S ribosomal RNA
Rfam family: Bacterial small subunit ribosomal RNA
Source: RNAcentral
UACGAAGGGGGCUAGCGUUGCUCGGAAUCACUGGGCGUAAAGCGCACGUAGGCGGAUCUUUAAGUCAGGGGUGAAAUCCCAAGGCUCAACCUUGGAACUGCCUUUGAUACUGGGGAUCUCGAGUCCGGAAGAGGUGAGUGGAACUGCGAGUGUAGAGGUGAAAUUCGUAGAUAUUCACAAGAACACCAGUGGCGAAGGCGGCUCACUGGUCCGGUACUGACGCUGAGGUGCGAAAGCGUGGGGAGCAAACAGG